Dama dama (fallow deer) is the source of this 604-nucleotide long non-coding RNA. RefSeq lists it as uncharacterized. The record is from RefSeq and is a predicted model, not a curated record. The transcript has 3 exons. Lineage: Eukaryota; Metazoa; Chordata; Mammalia; Artiodactyla; Cervidae.
CACGCGGCACUCCAGGUCCUGUCAGCGCCGCCCGCCGCCCGCCGUGGCUGGCUCCCGACAUUUUGGGCCAAAUUUUGGGUCGCCCGGAAGCCACUUGGGUGUGUCGAGCCCUCAACGGCAGACCAUUCCCUCCGCCCAGCUUCUCCAGCAGCAACUUGGGCCUUAGCACUAGCACAUUCUGUUUUGGCCACACCCCGAAGACUUGGGAAGUGUUGCUCCAUCCUUAGAGUUGUCGAAUGCUGAAUCAAACCUCUGCCCAAAAUUUCUUGUGUCGACUGUGUGCAAGGCACGGUACCUGGAUCUUUAGUGGAGGAGAGACUAUGGAAUUCAGUGUGCCCUUGUGCAAUUAUGUAUUGCCACAUUUGUGCAUAAUAUCACCAGUUCUCAAAAACCCAAGCCCACACACAGAUCUGAGGCCAGCAAAAAUGCCAGUUAAAGCUCAUAUAGAACUUCCCACGUGCCAGGCAUUAUAUGAAGUUCUUCAGAUCUACCAACUCAUUUAAUUCUUCGACAACCUUACAAGUUUUAAAGACGCAAAGUCCAAAGGCCAAGGUGCCAACGGCAGCGUCGGUGUUGUGAGCUGUCCCUUCAUGCGGCAGUCACU